Long non-coding RNA from Actinia tenebrosa (Australian red waratah sea anemone), 682 nucleotides. Lineage: Eukaryota; Metazoa; Cnidaria; Anthozoa; Actiniaria; Actiniidae. The record is from RefSeq and is a predicted model, not a curated record.
AUUGUUUUGGUACCCCAUAGUGGCCGCUGUGACGUCACGUGAAAACGCUCUAUUACGAUAAAGUAUUUUUUAAAUUUCCUUAUUAUAUUUCCAAAAAAAAUUUGCUUUAUUAUUUUAGUUCUGUUUUCUUAACCAUUUCGCUCUGUAUUUGUCAUUAUUUACUUCUUUGUAACCAAUUUAUCCUAAUCGACUUCCCAUGUGGCUAACGCUAUUCUCAAAUAACAGUAAUAAAUAAUCAGUAAUUAAUGUUUAAGGCGGUAGUUUCGAAAAGUAAUUGAAUCCUUCAAUGCUACUUGCACCGGGCGUGGUUACAAUGCACCAGGCGCGGUUACCACGCACCAGGUGUGGUUACAAGGCAUCAGGCGCGGUUACCACGCACCAGGUGUGGUUACAAGGCACCAGGCGCGGUUACCACGCACCAGGUGUGGUUACAAGGCACCAGGCGCGGUUACCACGCACCAGGUGUGGUUACAAGGCACCAGGUGUGGUUCCAAGCCACCAGGCGCGGUUAUCAUGAACCAGGAGCGGUAACCGUACAUCAAGUAUUAUAGCAUUAGAGCAGGCUCGGUUACUUUUCAAAAUGGCCGUCUUUUCCCAUGUUUCCAUUUUAUUAACUUGUUAGUAACAAUCUUUUCUCUUUGUAAUAAAAGAUCACAUUUUAUUAAACUUAAUCUUCUCGUAA